AAAGUGCGAAAAGUGUCAUGACUUGCAGAUUCCCGAGAGCUGACAAAUCUCUGAAUGCAAAUGGCAGUCGCGUUAGACCCGACUAUGUAUUGUAGAGUGUAGAUGCUCCAGCUAUUCAUCAUAUCCCUCUCUUCUCUUCAAAGGGGUUGAGACGGUGUGGACCUGCGCUUGCGAGAGAGGCAACUGUUUCGCGAGUGUUAAAAGAAAAGGUCUACGACUAAUCUCUCGAAAGAGGGUUUGUCGUGCACCGAUGAGAAAAUGUGUUUCACACACACCGACGCAUCGGAUGCUCCGUUAAGGACCAGUAUUUUAUAUUCUUUCAAUGAGCCACCUCUACAAUGCAUGAAAACCCGCUGAACUUAA
RNAcentral lists this unclassified non-coding RNA (363 nucleotides) under uncultured fungus. RNAcentral describes it as "sequence contains ITS1". The stretch from base 1 to 102 matches the Rfam family "5.8S ribosomal RNA", at positions 50 to 154 of the family's 154-position model. The record is from RNAcentral. Lineage: Eukaryota; Fungi.